RNAcentral lists this unclassified non-coding RNA (1535 nucleotides) under Hevea brasiliensis (rubber tree). The record is from RNAcentral. Lineage: Eukaryota; Viridiplantae; Streptophyta; Magnoliopsida; Malpighiales; Euphorbiaceae.
GUUUGGGACUCUCAUAAGUUUUCCACCACAUUGUUGCCUAGGUUUUUCAAGCACAGCAAUUUUUCCAGUUUCAUUCGGCAGCUUAACACAUAUGGAUUUAGAAAGGUGGAUCCUGACAGAUGGGAAUUUGCGAAUGGAGGUUUUCUGGGAGGGCAAAAGCAUCUUUUGAAGACGAUAAAGAGGAGGAGGAAUGUUGGUCAGAGUAUGAAUCAACAAGGAUCUGGUGCUUGCAUUGAAAUUGGUUAUUAUGGGAUGGAGGAGGAGCUAGAAAGAUUAAAGCGGGAUAAAAACGUGUUGAUGACUGAAAUAGUUAAACUUAGGCAGCAACAGCAGAGUACGAGGAAUCAUAUCAUUGCCAUGGGAGAAAAAAUCGAAACACAGGAGAGGAAACAAGUGCAGAUGAUGAGUUUCUUAGCAAAGAUUUUCAGCAAUCCAACUUUUCUCCAGCAGUACUUGGACAAACAUGUGCACAGAAAAGAUAAACAACGUAUCGAAGUUGGACAAAAGAGGAGACUAACGAUGACCCCCAGUGCUACAGGAAGUGAUCAGCCUAUGAAUUACUCCUCAUCACACCAAGAGAGUGAAGCUGAGCUUGCAAGUAUUGAAAUGUUAUUCUCUGCUGCAAUGGACAAUGAAUCAAGCAGCAAUGUCAGGCCGGAUUCUGUUGUGACAGCAAAUGGAACUGAUAUGGAACCAGUGGCUGAUGAUAUUUGGGAAGAGUUGCUCAGUGAAGAUCUUAUAUCCGGGGAUCGAGCAGCAGAGGAAGUAGUGGUUGUUGAACAACCUGAAUUCGACGUGGAAGUUGAAGAUCUUGUUGUGAAAACACCUGAAUGGGGUGAGGAAUUACAAGACCUUGUGGAUCAGCUUGGUUUCCUUUAGAGGUUAAGAUGCAGAUAUACUACUUUCUUUCAUUUCAGGAAGCUUUGAGGCGGUCUCUAGUAGCGCAUGUUUACAAAACCAUACAAUUGACAAUGGUGUGUAGCUUAAUUAUCUGGUGCUCAUAAACUUUUUAGGGGUUGUUUAAAUAUGCAGAGGUUAGGGGCUUGGAUGUAUGGAUCUCUAUGGUGGAGAACGAAAGAGAGGAGAGGAUAGAGUAUACAAGAGAUUUUAUAUUAGAUAGAUUGAGAAGAAAAGCAUCAACAUGGACUCGGCUUUCCUCAACCAACACCAGUUCCUUUAUACAACAUUGUGUCCACUUACCAAAUCAGUGUAUUUUAUCACAGUUGAAGGAUGGUAUUUUUACUUCUUUACUGGUGUUCUUCCCAACAGUUCAAGCUGGUUUACUCCAGAACAAUCCAUGACAGUGAUAGAGCAUCAUGCAUCAGAUAAAAUGAUGCAAAUAUAAUCAGAACAAUAGUAAGCAUGAGGUCUGACUUUAGGGUGGAGACAAAAGUUGAAAAGUGGGAAUCCUAAUCACAGAGUCAUGUCCGAAUAUUAUUCAUCUCUUCUGGCAAAGCAUCAAACAUGUAAUAGGACAAAUCGAACCGACAUAAAAUAGUAACCCAGUAUUGAAUCAACAUUUCCUGUGACAAUUA